RNAcentral lists this ribosomal RNA (460 nucleotides) under uncultured bacterium. Its description in RNAcentral is "partial 16S ribosomal RNA". It matches the Rfam family "Bacterial small subunit ribosomal RNA", at positions 338 to 795 of the family's 1533-position model. The record is from RNAcentral.
CCUACGGGAGGCAGCAGUGAGGAAUAUUGGUCAAUGGGCGCGAGUCUGAACCAGCCAAGCCGCGUGAAGGAAGACUGCCCUAUGGGUUGUAAACUUCUUUUAUAAGGGAAUAAACUCAGGUACGCGUGCCUGUUUGUAUGUAUCUUAUGAAUAAGGAUCGGCUAACUCCGUGCCAGCAGCCGCGGUAAUACGGAGGAUCCGAGCGUUAUCCGGAUUUAUUGGGUUUAAAGGGUGCGUAGGCGGUUGGUUAAGUCAGAGGUGAAAGUUUGAGGCUCAACUGUAGAAUUGCAAUUGAUACUGGCAGUCUAGAGAGUAGUUGAGGUAGGCGGAAUGCGUGGUGUAGCGGUGAAAUGCUUAGAGAUCACACAGAACUCCGAUUGCGAAGGCAGCUUACUAAGCUGCUACUGACAUUGAGGCUCGAAAGUGUGGGGAGCAAACAGGAUUAGAUACCCGAGUAGUC